Mesocricetus auratus (golden hamster) is the source of this 3203-nucleotide long non-coding RNA. RefSeq lists it as uncharacterized. The transcript has 4 exons. The record is from RefSeq and is a predicted model, not a curated record. NCBI's taxonomy places the organism in Eukaryota, Metazoa, Chordata, Mammalia, Rodentia, Cricetidae.
GGUCCACCUUCCGGGUUGUCCGGUGCUCCGGCUGGGCCACUUCCGCCUGCGUGCUUCCGGCGGUCUGGUUCCGGAUCCCCCAGGCUGGCGCGCUCCUCUUCUCUGCGCGCCCGGUCCUCUCAGGACUGCGAACCCGACGGGCGGCGGAGGUGGUGGAUGAAGCAGGGUUCGAAUGUUUAUUUUUUUCCAAGGACUAAAGAGUAAUUUUGCCAAAGCAGAGCCGACAGACCCCACCACCAGCACCACCACCACCACGGCUCCGCCCCCGCCGGGUGCACCAUUAGACGUCUGUCAAUCAAACAAAUCCCUCCCGGGAGCGCCUCGUUUGACAGUGUCAAAUGCAAACCCCGACAGCCCUGCAGGGGCCGUGCGUCCCAGAUUUAAGGCAGGGAAAGUUCAGAAAGUACACCAAGCAGGUCAACUGGGGAAAAAAAGCAGUUUGGAGUGUGCCACGGGCUCUCAGAAUCCAUGGGGGCGUCCACCUGUGUCCCCCCCGAGGGAGGUUUGCAACUAGCGGGGUUCUCGGUGGGUGAGGAGGGGAGGAGACGAGCCAAGCAGAGCCGGGCGGCGGAGGUGAUCUGAACCGGCCGAGCUCUGCGGCUUCGGAACGCUCCGACCCAGCUGUGUGACCCUUGCGGGGUCAUCCCGGGGAACCGGGAAGAAAACCGAAGGCCGCCCCUCUCCUCGCACAGUGGCUCUCCCGGGAGACGGUGAGCGUUUCUGGAACAGAAGGGGCGGUGCAGCGCGUCCGCACACGUCCUCUCUCCCACUGAAACCGACUUGCUGAGCUUCGGGCCGGGAUACCUGCCAUCGUGCAGAGAGGCUGCAGCUGUCGUCUGCAGAUGGGACGGGGCGCUGACACCCCCAUCGCGUGUGUGUUGGAUGCUCCAGACGUGACCCUCGCAGCCUCCGCCCCCAACUUGAACCUUGUCAUCGCUAUUUUGGAACCUCAUUCCUUAAAGCCCGCAUUGCAUGCUGCUCGCGGGCCACCGAAUGGUAGACCGAGUCCUUGUGGCGGUCUCCGGGCUCAGAGACCGCUACCCACCCCUGGUGGCCUCAGCUUCUGCUUGUGUAGGAGGGGCGGUGUGCAGUGAGGACGUCCCAGGGCAACUGACACUUUUGCGACUGUGUUUAUUUGCUUCCCCGUCUCCCCUCCCACGGGUGCAGGGGCCAGGUCUCUGCAUCUCCGGCCUCUAUAACCCUACCCCCACCCCGGCCCUGGAGAAACCGAGGUGGGGGGCGAGCGAUCUAGCAAGUGCACGGCCCCACACGUUCUAAAUCUGGGUUUAGGAUCGCAGACUCUCGGCGCUAAAGCCUGAGGUUUUCCUGAUGCAUUUAGCCCGCCCUUUCACGGAGCAACACCAGCCUAGGACGGUGACCUGGGCCACUCGGGAGUGCUGAACCCACGGCGACCUGUGGGUCUUCCCUCCAGCAAAGAGUUCUCUCUGACAGGAACUAACUGUAAAGGGACAUCACUGAGGACUGUUUUCGGUGGGGUAGAUGUGACAGCACUGUUAUGACGUAAGCAUUUGUGGUUAUAAGGACCAAGUGCUAUCAUCUCUGGACAUCCCCCUGCUUUGUUGUGGGCUGGAGGGCAGAGGACACCAGCCUGGCUGCACCAUUAGGUUUGAUGUCAGCAUCCAUUACCACGCAGGCAUGACGAUACGAUCGAAGACUAAGUACCUGCUUCUCUUUCCUCUCAGCCCCCAUUGUGUAGUUAAUACUCUCAUCAAGUAUUAAGCAUCAGGAGGCUGCCAGAGGCCCCAGGGGCACUGGCCUAUUUGAUUUCACUUUGUGAAAGGAAUCAACGUUAUGCUAGACGCUAUAGACAGAUUGUUGUACUCAGGGACCUAGAGAGAAGUACUUAAGCCAGAUUUAUUGGGCUUACUUCACUGUUACUUCAGCUUUCCUGACUGAAGUCUGAGAUUCUGAGGGCAAGCCUCUCCUGGAGAACAGCCACCCUGGCUUCUACUCGCUUCUGGGGGUCCCAGCCUCCUCCUCUCAGGACUCCCAGCAGAAAGGAAGGCCACAGGCAUUGGACAGGCCAAUGAGGCUUUCCACGGGGGCACAGCUAAUAGCAGACCUCUGACUGCAGGUUGGCACUAUCGGUCUGUGCCCCCGAGGGCAAGGUCAUUACUACGCAGGCUCAGAGAGGCACUUAGAAUUCCUGAGAGGGGUUUGCCUUUGGUUCCCCAGUAACAACAGUUCCGGAACUCAAAAGGAAACCGAGUGGUUCUGUGUGGUGAAGCUACCCAAAUAGAUACGCAUGUAAAUGUACAGAAAGUGACUGGAAGGAACACAGGACUUAGUGAAAACAGUUAAGAUUGGAGGCAGGGGAGCACUAAAUAUGCCAGAGAUUUUAAGGUUUUGUUUUUUUUUUUUUAAACCACACUUCCCACUCCAUUAACUCAGUUAAGAUACACUCCCUCAGUCGGGCGUUGGUGGCGCACGCCUUUAAUCCCAGCACUCGGGAGGCAGAGAGCAGGCAGAUCUCUGUGAGUUCGAGGCCAGCCUGGUCUACAGAGCGAGUUCCAGGACAGCCUCCAAAACAAUACAGAGAAACCCUGUCUCGAAAAACCUAAAAUAAAAAAAUAUCACAAUUCUGUGUGUAUAGGGUGGGGGUGUAGAUGUCAAAGGACAUCUUGCAGGAGUUACCUCUCUUCCAUCUUGUGAGUUCCAGGACUUGGUGACAGAACUCGUCGGGCUUGCUGGCAGUUACCCGUACCCACUCGGCUAUCUUCCCCAGCUCUCUGAGGCAUCUCGGCCCCCUUAUUCAGCUGCUCUCCACCCUGGCCGCGUAAUUUACAAGCAGAGGUUUUAUAUAACUCACCGUUCUCAUAAUGGCCUGGAGCUGGUGGCAGGUGUCUUCGCAGGGUCUCCACGCUCUGCCGUCGCAUGACAGCCGAGCAAGGAAAUGAAACAGGGAAGAAGCAGAGAGGACACUGGAAUGGAAUCAGUCUUCUGGAACCACAAAGCCCACCUUCAGUGACCUCCUCCAACAAGGCCACACCUCCUAAUCCUUCCCAAACAAUCUCAUCACGUGGAGACCAAGUACCUCCAGAAUAGAGGAGCCUACUGGGACCAUUCUUGUUCAAACCACCUGUGCCUUUAAUGCCAGCGCUUGGGUGGCUGAGGCAGGUGGAUCUCUGUAGACACAGUUUCCGUCCUGCCUGGUCCCACAGCCACUUUGCCCCCAAAUAAAC